GAGACGGGUUGACGGGUUGUACACGGGUUGACACGACCCGUUUAAUAAACGGGUUAGAUAGGUAUUAUAACGGGUUAGCGGGUUGACCCGAAACCCACCCGUUUAUUAAACGGGUCAGAACGGGUUGACCCGAAAUUGACCCGUUUUUUUAUCGUGCGGGUUGAACCCGCUAAUUUCUCGUGCGGGUUUCGAGUCGUGUAUCGGGUCGUAUCCGAAAUUGCCACCCCUACUUAUCGUUCCCUCUAUAACCAGCCCCCUCUUCCUCUUCCUCUCCUCACUUCUUUUCUUCCUUUUCUUUAUUCGUUCUUUGGUUCCAUAUCAUAUAUGGCUGGUAAGAAUUUGUUUCGAUUUUUCUUUUAAAGAAGUUUUUGCCAUUUUAUUUAUAUCAUAAAUCUGGGAUAUUUAUACCAUUUAAAAUCUACUACUAUUACUGUUAAUAGUUUUUUCUUAUAUUUUUCUUUUUAUCCAUACCAUUGUUGGCUCACUUAGAUCUGGAUUUUUGUGUGUUUUGAAGGUGAUUAUCUGCUACUUAGGUCUGGAGUUUUUUUCUUUGUUUGUGUGCUCUUGAAAUUGAAGGCUCAAAGCAUGAGCUAAGGUUGAAGGUGUGAUUUAUUAUUAUUAUUUUUUUAACUCUUUAGUUGCAUUGAAAUAUUGUCUCCUACAAUUUUAAUUUGAUUAUAUUUUUUUUUGCGUGUAUGUGAAGGUUUGAUGAAGACGCAUAACUUUUAUUUAGGUUUGAUUUUUCUGAUGGGUUGUUCAUACAAAAUACACAACCGUUUAAAGUUGGUGGCGGUGGUGCUCGGAGAGAGAGAGAGAGAAAAGGUGGUUUAGGUUUUUUUUGGCAAUUAAUUUUUUUUUUCAUAAAUAAAUACUUUGGGCACGAAUGAAUAAUUGGUGUGCAUGUAUAAAAGUGAAAUCGGAUGCAGCAGUCAAUGUGUCAGAACAACCACUUCCGUGCUCAAAAGUAUUGAGCAUAGGACACGAAAAAAGUAAUUUGUGCUUAAUGAACAAUGAAACUCCUAUACAGGAAAUCGACCAACUUGUUGUGGUUGCACCGUGGCUGUUAACAAAGAGCACAAAUAAUUGUGACUUUUACAUUAAAGAGCACAAAUAAUAUUGGUGCCUAAAGUCUGAUAUUAUAGUCAUUGGCGGACCCAAUACAUGCUUACUGUGGGCAGCUGCCCACAUUUAAGUGGUUUCUUCACCCAUCUAGCCAAACACUUUGUCUAUAAAAAUUAGACACUUGGCUAAUAUUUUGCAUGCAAAAUCCCCACUCAGC
This 1279-nucleotide long non-coding RNA is filed under the name Prunus persica (peach). RNAcentral describes it as "long non-coding RNA (PPER_LNC004763)". Lineage: Eukaryota; Viridiplantae; Streptophyta; Magnoliopsida; Rosales; Rosaceae. The record is from RNAcentral.